GACGAACGCUGGCGGCGUGCUUAACACAUGCAAGUCGAACGGAAAGGCCCUGCUUUUGUGGGUUGCUCGAGUGGCGAACGGGUGAGUAACACGUGAGUAACAUGCCCUUGACUUUGGGAUAACUCCAGGAAACUGGGGCUAAUACCGGGUAGAAGCUCCUGAUGCAUGGGGGGGGUUGGAAAGUUUCGGCGGUUGGGGCUGGACUCGCGGCUUAUCAGCUUGUUGGUGGGGUAGUGGCUUACCAAGGCUGUGACGGGUAGCCGGCCUGGGCGGGUGACCGGCCACAUGGGGACUGCGAGACGCCCCAGACUCCUACGGGAGGCAGCAGUGGGGAAUAUUGCACAAUGGGCGGAAGCCUGAUGCAGCAACGCUGCGUGCGGGAUGACGGCCUUCGGGUUGUAAACCGCUGUCGCCGGUGCCAAAGCGUGAUUGACGGUAAUGGGUAAAGAAGCACCGGCUAACUACGUG
RNAcentral lists this ribosomal RNA (468 nucleotides) under uncultured bacterium. Its description in RNAcentral is "partial 16S ribosomal RNA". It matches the Rfam family "Bacterial small subunit ribosomal RNA", at positions 28 to 507 of the family's 1533-position model. The record is from RNAcentral.